UAAUGUAUGGGGAUCUGCCCGAUAGAGGGGGAUAACUACUGGAAACGGUGGCUAAUACCGCAUAAUGUCUACGGACCAAAGCAGGGGCUCUUCGGACCUUGCACUAUCGGAUGAACCCAUAUGGGAUUAGCUAGUAGGUGGGGUAAAGGCUCACGUAGGCGACGAUCUCUAGCUGGUCUGAGAGGAUGAUCAGCCACACUGGGACUGAGACACGGCCCAG
This 220-nucleotide ribosomal RNA is filed under the name uncultured bacterium. RNAcentral's name for it is "partial 16S ribosomal RNA". It matches the Rfam family "Bacterial small subunit ribosomal RNA", at positions 111 to 334 of the family's 1533-position model. The record is from RNAcentral.